UACGUAGGGUGCAAGCGUUAUCCGGAUUCACUGGGUUUAAAGGGUGCGUAGGUGGAUUAGUAAGUCAGUGGUGAAAUCUCCGGGCUUAACCCGGAAACUGCCAUUGAUACUAUUAGUCUUGAAUACCGUGGAGGUCAGCGGAAUAUGUCAUGUAGCGGUGAAAUGCUUAGAUAUGACAUAGAACACCAAUUGCGAAGGCAGCUGGCUACACGAGCAUUGACACUCAGGCACGAAAGCGUGGGGAUCAAACAGG
Molecule: ribosomal RNA, 253 nt
Filed under: uncultured bacterium
Lineage: Bacteria
Description: partial 16S ribosomal RNA
Rfam family: Bacterial small subunit ribosomal RNA
Source: RNAcentral